RNAcentral lists this ribosomal RNA (468 nucleotides) under uncultured bacterium. RNAcentral describes it as "partial 16S ribosomal RNA". It matches the Rfam family "Bacterial small subunit ribosomal RNA", at positions 28 to 507 of the family's 1533-position model. The record is from RNAcentral.
GACGAACGCUGGCGGCGUGCUUAACACAUGCAAGUCGAACGGAAAGGCCCUGCUUUUGUGGGGUGCUCGAGUGGCGAACGGGUGAGUAACACGUGAGUAACCUGCCCUUGACUUUGGGAAAACUUCAGGAAACUGGGGCUAAUCCCGGAUAGGAGCUCCUGCUGCAUGGUGGGGGUUGGAAAGUUUCGGCGGUUGGGGAUGGACUCGCGGCUUAUCAGCUUGUUGGUGGGGUAGUGGCUUACCAAGGCUUUGACGGGUAGCCGGCCUGAGAGGGUGACCGGCCACAUUGGGACUGAGAUACGGCCCAGACUCCUACGGGAGGCAGCAGUGGGGAAUAUUGCACAAUGGGCGGAAGCCUGAUGCAGCAACGCCGCGUGCGGGAUGACGGCCUUCGGGUUGUAAACCGCUUUCGCCUGUGACGAAGCGUGAGUGACGGUAAUGGGUAAAGAAGCACCGGCUAAGUACGUG